This 499-nucleotide ribosomal RNA is filed under the name uncultured bacterium. Its description in RNAcentral is "bacterial SSU rRNA". It matches the Rfam family "Bacterial small subunit ribosomal RNA", at positions 8 to 528 of the family's 1533-position model. The record is from RNAcentral.
AGAGUUUGAUCCUGGCUCAGAACGAACGCUGGCGGCGUGGAUAAGACAUGCAAGUCGAACGAGAGAAUUGCUAGCUUGCUAAUAAUUCUCUAGUGGCGCACGGGUGAGUAACACGUGAGUAACCUGCCCCCGAGAGCGGGAUAGCCCUGGGAAACUGGGAUUAAUACCGCAUAGUAUCGAAAGAUUAAAGCAGCAAUGCGCUUGGGGAUGGGCUCGCGGCCUAUUAGUUAGUUGGUGAGGUAACGGCUCACCAAGGCGAUGACGGGUAGCCGGUCUGAGAGGAUGUCCGGCCACACUGGAACUGAGACACGGUCCAGACACCUACGGGUGGCAGCAGUCGAGAAUCAUUCACAAUGGGGGAAACCCUGAUGGUGCGACGCCGCGUGGGGGAAUGAAGGUCUUCGGAUUGUAAACCCCUGUCAUGUGGGAGCAAAUUAAAAAGAUAGUACCACAAGAGGAAGAGACGGCUAACUCUGUGCCAGCAGCCGCGGUAAUACAG